GCCGCGGUGGUCUAGAGGUAGAACGUUCGCCCCGAAUGCGGAAGGCCAGGGUUCGAAUCCCGGCCGCGACA
This is a non-coding RNA of Ostrea edulis (European flat oyster), 71 nucleotides long. NCBI's taxonomy places the organism in Eukaryota, Metazoa, Mollusca, Bivalvia, Ostreida, Ostreidae. The record is from the annotation of a RefSeq genome assembly.